Molecule: long non-coding RNA, 1017 nt
Filed under: Vombatus ursinus (common wombat)
Lineage: Eukaryota; Metazoa; Chordata; Mammalia; Diprotodontia; Vombatidae
Description: lncRNA (ENSVURG00010006839.1)
Source: RNAcentral
GCCUGAUUCUGCACUUGUACUCCACCUCCUCUCCCACCUCUCACCACCACCUCCCUCCCUCUGAAAUCCAGGCAAAAUACCACUUCUAACACUAGCUCUGAGACUAUAGGAACUUAAUGUCUCUGAGUCUCAGAUCUUACUUCGAUAAAGUGGAGAUAGUAAAACGUGUGGUGCCUACCUCUGGGCAUUGUCGUGAAUCUUAAAUAAGAAAGCAGCUAUGUUAGUUGUUACUGCUACGGCCACAACUAUUAAACACUGCUACUACCGUGUCGGUUUGAACAGAUCACUUCCCUUUCCUGGGCUUACGUCUCCCCAUAUAUAAAAUCGCAUUAUAUGUUCUCCAAAAAUCCAUUCCGCUCUAAAUCCUGUGGUCCUCACCCUUCCAUUAUAAUAGACCCAGGAUCAUUUCACAGGUCCUGAAAAGAGGACAGCAGCGAAGAAGUGGGGCAGAAGGGACAUAAAGACAAAGCAGCGGGAGAGGAACCGAGGGUUCUUAGCGUGCCUCGAGCAUCCCUAUGCAAGCGUGGAGCACGUACCCCAAACUCGAACCCGAACCGAACCCAGGCCACAUCCUUCCGUGAGUAGCGCGGGGCAAAGGGCAUGCGCACGCACGUGGCGUCUCGGGCCUCCCACGUUCUAGCGGUGGAAGUUUGGGAGCUUCGGUCUCCGUGGUAACGAGACGCUUUUCCCUUGUGGGAAACAGCGGCAGUAGAAGCUUCAGCUUUCACCACGGGAGAGGGAUCGGGGCGGGAGGGCCGGGGAAGAAACCCCGCUCCUUUGCCCAGGGCAGCAGGGUCCCUUUCCAAUCCUUCCCUCCCCAGCUGGGAAAGAUGCCCCUGCAAGUAGUAGUGGAGUUGCACAUUCGAGCGGAUGGGGAAGACUAGAGUUCUGCAUCUCUUCUCUGUGUCCUAAUUUGCUUCAUCAGCAAAUAUCAAAAUGUGCCCCCCCCCAUCUACCAAAAACCAAAACAUGUGUGGGUUCUUAAAAGUGAAUAAAUUAAAAAUUUAAAAAUCUACA